AUGGACACCCUCUGCUACAACUCCUCUGACCCGGUGGCAGUGAACGCCACCGUGCUGUUUGAUUUUGACAUCGACAACAUGAAUCUGUGGACCAGAGCUGAUCCCACUGUCCCCCUCCCUCCCUGUCCCUCCUCCUCUCCCCCCGGUGAUGCCCAGUGCACCGUGUGCCGCGACCACAUCGUCUUCGCCGUGUGCCGAAAGCUGGCAGACGGCGUGAAAAUGACGAUGGAGGCCGGAACACAGCAGGUCACAGUCCUCCAGAGCGAAUGCCCCACAAUGCUCUCUGAUGGACAGCUGCACAGUGCUCUCCUCUUCCUCUUCCUCAUCCUCUUCCUCAUCCUCCUCCUCUUCAUCGGGGGGGUUGGUGGCUGUGUACUCUGGAGACGCUCAAUGUGGGUGUUUUUAAGUUUCUGUCAAAACUGUUCACAUGUAGCCUUUUAUGGAUCAUUAGUAUUGAUUAUCAUCAGAAUAUUGGUGUUUAGGGGGACGAUCUUUAUUCAAUCUGGGGACCCAGAAACAGACAGAACCAGAUGUGAGUCAACCAAACACAUCUUAACUGCAGAGGGGAUGAAGAGUCCGGUCGCUACGAUUCAACAAGGAAUAAUAUUCUCCUCUUUUUGUGCAGUAAUGUCAGUUUAUCUGACAGCAGCAGGACAUUAACUGACCUCCACCUGAACGUCUAAUUCAACCUUUAUUUGACUUUAUUUUAUGGAUAUUUUAUCUUCAGCACUAACAACAGAGAACAGACAGUGAAGCUGUGUGUAUAUAACUUAUAUGUUAUAACUUGUGUUUGUGCUCUCAUCGUCUCAUUAUUGUUUAAACUUUGUGUUUGCAGGUCCAACCAGCAGUCGGAGCGCCGCACUGACGCUCAUCCUGAGACGGCUUACAAUAAGUGUGUUUGACCUCUGUUACGAACUAAUGCUGUCAAAAUCUGCCAAAAGAAGAUUAUUAUCCGUAAAUGUAAGAACUCAUAGCUCUCUUUAUAGCUACAGCGCUUCAGCUUAGGCAAUGAGACACUGCUGAAUGUUUACAUUUUUCAAAAUAAAGGAAAAUAAAUCAAAAACGUACCGGAUCAUGAAUUUUGUGUACCGUUAUACCCUUAAUAUAUGUAUAUAUACACUGAAUAUAUAAGUUAGAAGGAGCUAAAUGUAGUUUAUCACUUAAAUAAAAUGCAAUGGAGAGCUGCUGUAGACCCACAAAGGUCCUCUAGAACAAUCAAUGUUUCACUCAGACUUUCUCAGGAGUUUGCAGAACAUCUGGAAGCACAAUAAAUAUGAUAAACUGUAAUUUUAAUGAAAAUAAAA
Molecule: long non-coding RNA, 1304 nt
Filed under: Dicentrarchus labrax (European seabass)
Lineage: Eukaryota; Metazoa; Chordata; Actinopteri; Moronidae
Description: lncRNA (ENSDLAG00005026848.1)
Source: RNAcentral